AGGACGAACGCUGGCGGCGUGCUUAACACAUGCAAGUCGAGCGGAAAGGCCCUUCGGGGUACUCGAGCGGCGAACGGGUGAGUAACACGUGAGUAAUCUGCCCCUAGCUCUGGGAUAGCUCCGGGAAACCGGGAUUAAUACCGGAUACGACUGCUACGGACAUCUGUGGUGGUGGAAAGAACUUCGGCUAGGGAUGAGCUCGCGGCCUAUCAGCUUGUUGGUGGGGUAACGGCCUACCAAGGCGACGACGGGUAGCCGGCCUGAGAGGGCGCACGGACACACUGGAACUGAAACACGGUCCAGACUCCUACGGGAGGCAGCAGUGGGGAAUUUUGCGCAAUGGGGGAAACCCUGACGCAGCAACGCCGCGUGGAGGAUGAAGUCCCUUGGGACGUAAACUCCUUUCGAUCGGGACGAUAAUGACGGUACCGAGAGAAGAAGCCCCGGCUAACUUCGCGCCAGCAGCCGC
Molecule: ribosomal RNA, 469 nt
Filed under: uncultured bacterium
Lineage: Bacteria
Description: SSU rRNA
Rfam family: Bacterial small subunit ribosomal RNA
Source: RNAcentral